RNAcentral lists this transfer RNA (70 nucleotides) under Dipodomys ordii (Ord's kangaroo rat). It matches the Rfam family "tRNA". Rfam says of the family: Transfer RNA (tRNA) molecules are approximately 80 nucleotides in length. Their secondary structure includes four short double-helical elements and three loops (D, anti-codon, and T loops). Lineage: Eukaryota; Metazoa; Chordata; Mammalia; Rodentia; Heteromyidae. The record is from Rfam by way of RNAcentral.
GGGAAAGUGGCUCUGUGAUAGAGUGCUUGCUUUGCAUGCAUGAGGCCCUGGGUUCGAUUCCCCAGCACCA